RNAcentral lists this transfer RNA (68 nucleotides) under Cocculina enigmadonta. RNAcentral's name for it is "tRNA-Leu". It matches the Rfam family "tRNA". From Rfam's summary of the family: Transfer RNA (tRNA) molecules are approximately 80 nucleotides in length. Their secondary structure includes four short double-helical elements and three loops (D, anti-codon, and T loops). The record is from RNAcentral. Lineage: Eukaryota; Metazoa; Mollusca; Gastropoda; Cocculinidae.
ACUGAGGUGGCAGAGUAGUGCAUUAGAUUUAAGCUUUAAUCAUAAAGGUUUAAAUCCUUUCUUUAGUA